ACUGGCCAACCACCAGGAGUGGGCUUGGGAACAGAGUCUGUAUUCCUAGACGGGAUCGCCACAUUUUUGCUUUCUGUUUCUAUUGAGGCCGGAAACCACGUCACAGGCAGCGGCUUUCUCUCUUUUCCUCCGGCGUGGCUGGCGAUGUUGUGUCGAUUUCAGCCAGGUUUUGCAGGGAGGACUCGGGCGCGUUGGUGGGAGAUUUCUGCCCCUCCAGAGAGGAGAGAAACAGCAAGGGAGGGGGAAUGUCUUUUUUUCUGGAAAACAGCCAGAAAAGCAAAUAGUUUUCCAUAGUGCUGUGCUGUUUCUGUGACGUGACCCAUGGAGGACCAAAACCCCACAAUUCCCCCCUUACAGAAAUGGUCAGAAGGGCCCCCUGACGUCCUUCAGGCACUGACUGCACGUCACUGUAAAUGGUCGUUAAUGGUUGUUAUGUGUGGCACACGACUAUGAUGACCUCAUUAUGAUGGCUGCCAUCUCAAGAAGGACAAAACUUGAUAUCUGUUGUCCUGUUUUUAUUGGUUUCCAACUCGGGGAAAGAUUUGGAUGGAUCCAUUUCAUCGAGAGGAGUUCAGAAUUUCCCCGUGAAGCCGCAGAUGUCCACAAAGGCUCAGAAGUGGGAAACAACGGUGGCCAGCACAAAACCCUUGCUGGAUGUCUGUCUGGGAUACUGCCAGGGUUUGGCCCAGGCGUGGAGGUUCCCAUGAUAAUGCCUGCUUCAGAAUGAGGCCCCUCUGGGCAAGAGAAGACCCAAUGGCAGAUUGGA
Molecule: long non-coding RNA, 766 nt
Organism: Rhineura floridana
Lineage: Eukaryota; Metazoa; Chordata; Lepidosauria; Squamata; Rhineuridae
Exons: 4
Source: RefSeq, a predicted model, not a curated record